This 21-nucleotide microRNA is filed under the name Mus musculus (house mouse). Its description in RNAcentral is "microRNA miRNA071". The record is from RNAcentral. Lineage: Eukaryota; Metazoa; Chordata; Mammalia; Rodentia; Muridae.
UCCGGGGCUGAGUUCUGUGCA